This 9591-nucleotide long non-coding RNA is filed under the name Chlamydomonas reinhardtii. Its description in RNAcentral is "long non-coding RNA (CREI_LNC000977)". The record is from RNAcentral. Lineage: Eukaryota; Viridiplantae; Chlorophyta; Chlorophyceae; Chlamydomonadales; Chlamydomonadaceae.
CUAGGUGAAGCGUUUGUGUAUGCUGAAUGACACGGUGGGAUGGGACUGGGCGACCCUGGGCUCUUCUUGGGUUCCCACGGACACCCCACGAGCUUGCGAACCAGUCCUCCUCCGCCGGGGUAUUAUGUAUGUCACGCGUCCACAGUAUGUGCAUGCUGCUUUUGAAUAAAAUGACACAUACGCCACGGCGCAGAGUCUGAGCGGGCUGCUGAGGCAACGCGCAGCACCUGGGGUGAGCCACACGUAUGUCGGUAUGUGCCCAGUGCCCUCCGGCCUAUCAGCUACACACACCGCCUCCUCUUUACCUGACUGGGUUCACUGGGCCACCCCAGCCAUUCCUGCCGCCACCCAACACCACGUGAUCACACCCCGGCCCGGUCGCUCCACGCAGUCACUCGUGUCGCUCCGCACACACCUCCUGCCACAUAAGGCCACCUACCACAGACCAUAGACACGCGCUCGCUCGCUGGCCCACUCCUCCCAGCCCACGUCUUCAAGCCUUUACCCACACCUGCACACCAGCUUGCGGCACCAUGCCCCUCCCUUCUGCCAAACACACAAACAGCCCCAGCAUCUAGCCGUGCCGCUCCGAGCCCACACGUGGCUUUGGUCCUCCCCACCACCCCUCGCUACCAGGUCGCCCUCCGCCCGCCGCGCUACCAGUUCUGUCGCUGCUCGGGUUUGAGCGUGAAAUAGUGCAGCGCCUGGCAGCGGUCCAGCCAGCGCUUGUAGGUGUCCCCCGCCGGGCUGCCGGGCGCCAGGUCGGGCAGCUCCAGCAGCCGGUCCAGCCACAGCACCGGCAGGGUCUCACGCUGCAGCCGCUGUGGGGGGGGAGUGUGGGGGGAGUGUGGGGGGGAGUGGGGGAGUGUGGGGGAGUGUGGGGGGGAGUGUGGGGGAGUGUGUGGGGGGAGUGUGUGGGAGUGUGGGCAGUGUGUGGGGGAGGGCGGGCAGAAGCGGCGGGGGCAGCCAGGGACAGGAGCGGGGACGGAAGCGGAGGAAACAGCAGCGGAAGGAGCGGAACGGGAGGAGGGUAGGGCACGUGAGGAGGGGAGUCGUUCUGGGAUGCAGCAGACAGUCCCAGGCCACACAGGGUGUGGGGGUGGCGCCCGCCUGGACCCUGCUGACAGUGCGCCGCCACAGGGCGCCAGGCUCGUGUGUGUGUGUGUGUGUGUGUGUGUGUGUGUGUGUGUGUGUGUGUGUGUGUGUGUGUGUGUGUGUGUGUGUGUGUGUAAGUUGGGGGGGAGUUGCCGCGCUUGGACUUCAGGUGGGGCCUUCGCUGACACAGACAGCACUGGCAGGCAUUGGGCCGCUGCCGCACCUGCAGCAGCAGCGGGCUGUUGAGUCGCUCCAGCUCCGCAUGCGGCACCGCGGUGAAGGAGCUGGAGCCAGCGGGCGGCGGCGGCCCGGCGGCAGCCUGGGCGCAUGAGGGGGCGGGAUGAGUCAUGAGCAGCUCCCAUCGAGUUCUCAGUGUGAAGGUGCCAGGCUUGGAGGGCCAACAGACUGGGGCGCACGGAGUCAGGUACGGUACAGACAAAGACAUCGAUGUUGCACACGCAAGCAGGGCCACGGGCCCGCGCGGACGCACCCCCAGCCGGAUGGUGGUGUCUGGCGAGGGCGCUGCGCCGGUGGUGUUGCGCAGGUGGUGGAACUCCACGGCCAUCAUGCCGCGGCCCACGUCCUGGCCCCGGGGCUGGCGGUUGGCCAGGCAGUCUGCGCGGGCGGGGCGGGUGUGGCGGGGCGGGUGAGGCGGGGCGGGUGUGGCGGGGCGGGUGUGGCGGGGCGGGUGUGGCGGGGUGGGUGUGGCGGGGUGGGUGCGGCGGGGUGGGUGCGGCGGGGCGGGUGUGGCGGGGCGGGUGCGGCGGGGCGGGUGUGGCGGGGUGGGUGUGGCGGGGUGGGUGCGGCGGGGCGGGUGUGGCGGGGUGGGUGCAGCGGGGUGGGUGUGGCGGGGCGGGUGCGGCGGGGCGGGUGUGGCGGGGUGGGUGCGGCGGGGCGGGUGUGGCGGGGUGGGUGUGGCGGGGUGGGUGUGGCGGGGCGGGAGGAAGGGAGGGAGCACACAGACAUGGGACAUGUGCACAUACAAGAGAGAGACCGUAUGGGCGGACCGUGGGCGCGGUGUGUUCGAGGAAUGGGGCUAGGCACAGCCGUUGGUGAAAUGUGUGUGCGGGAAUGCGGGUGCGGUGCCUGCAGUCCAGGACGCCGUGUGGGUGUUCUGUUUGGCACACGGUGCCCACCCGCCCCCACGGCCUCGGCCCCCGCCCCCGGCCCCCCGCCUCCUCACCAAAGUGCCCAAAGCCGGGCCACUCGCACUGCAGGCUCUCCAGCGUGUCCCCGAAGGGCAUCGCCACGUGCCCCGUGUUGAUGUGGGGCCAGGGGAUGGAGUGCUUGAGCGGCCGCUGCAGAGUGCAGACCCGCCGCCUUGGCCCGGGGCGUCAGGGCCUGCGCCCCACACGGGAACAACACACACAUACAUGUACACAUGUACACACACACACACACACACAAGCAGCGCUCAGCACUGGUCUCAGGUUAAAGGAAAUGGGUAGGACAGGUAGGCGCCGGCACCGGCGGCCGACUGCCGCCCAGCCUCCUCGCCUGGCCCAGCGACCUCUCCCGCCAGAGGAAGACCACUACGAUGCGCCCGCCCGCCCGCCCGCCCGCAGCCACACCACACGCAGCCACACACGCACACACGGCCACACCGCACACAGCCACACCGCAGGCAGCCGCGUUCGCUCGCUCUCACCCAGUCUGUGUCGCAGGGCAGUGCCGGCCAGGCGGCUAUGGCCCCCAGCACCACCGCCACCUGCGCCAGGCCCUGAGCCGCCCGCACAAACUGCUCCUUGGCUAUGACGGGGUGAUUGGGAGCAGCCGGGUGGGUUUGGCGGCGAGGCGCGGAGUAGGGUCAAAACGAAGCAGUGGGCGGAAGACAAAAGACAGCGCGACCACAGUGCACAGGCACAGAGGCCGGGGGCUGGGCCAGCAGCGCCGUGGUCCUCCACAAACCCCUGGUUCCCUGCACCCUUGCCCCAUGAUCCCCUUCCCACCGCCCUCUUCCCGCCGCCCAUCCCCCUCCCGCUCCCCUCCCCCCCGCCACUCACUCAGUCCGGCGUGCACCACGCCCGGCGCGUAGGCCACGGUGUGCCGCAGCUCGGGCAGGUCCUCGUAGCUGCGCCCGCCGAACGCCUGGUUGGCCACGUAGAUGCGGGUGCGGCUCUGAGCCACCCUGCGCACAGCUGCUAACUACGCUCAGACUGACCCCGAUAAACGUUGAAUACAAGCAAGCACGUCUGAAAGAGCGCCUAGGCCACUGGCCAUGUCGACUGUUGCGCCGGUCGCCAACAAGUUCUAGGGGCCCGUGUGUUUGGUUGAGAUGCUAUGGCAUGUUUAUUCACCAACACAAUAGGAACGAACGUUCCGUGGAACGAAGAAUUGUGUUUGAACGAAAGGAUGCACGAUGGUUAUAUCCGGUAUUUGUAAAUCUGUAUUUUUAUGCCUAGAUGUCGUCAAGCUAAGUCGUUGACCCCCGUCACAUGCCUUGUCACGUUCCCAAACACCCCAAGCAUUUCUUUCGCCUCCUGCCAUACUCAACACCUCUACGGCGCCCCACGCUCAAAGGGCUAGGCGCGGGGCGGCCGGGCGGGGGCGACCUCGGGGCUUCUCCGAGUGUCCUAGCCGAUGCGCUUGCGUGUCGUCAAGCGUGUCGUAGCAGCAUGGAGGCUCUGACGGGGCGUUACACGCCUAUUAGCUCCCAAGCAUGCGGGGGCUCAGCCCAUUUUUGGGCUGAGCCCCCCCAGCGCAGCGUUUCAGAGGGGGAGGGCGAAGCCCCCCAGGAACACCCCUGUCCGUGCUGCGUGCGUGCGUGGCGGAACCUCAUAGGCGGAACCUCAUCAAGGCCUUGUGGUGCGCGACUGGUAUAAAUGCUCUACUGUGCCCUUGCAUGGUCAGUGGUGCCGCUCCUUCCGCACACAGCCCCAUCCAAUGCUUGUACUUGCUCAUCUGCACGCCUGGUUGCUUGUUGUCCGAUGGGAAAGUGUGUUUGGCUCAGACUGCAGCCGCUCGUGCUUCCACGCCUUCAUUAGACUCUCUCGAAAGGCGGAUACUAUUUGCCCUUCAGGCAGUGGGCUACCUGCUCGGCUCUCCUCCCUUUCCGGCCUGAUCAUGUGCAUACGGCCUUGCCAUACGUCUACGCCAUGCGCUGAGAUAAAACGGAAAAGACGUGCACACCACCCAUCUCCCUCUGGGUGUACUAACGCGUCUUGUACUUCAUCAAUUAGUGCAUCGUGGGCUAGGCUAUCCUUCUGCACGGCAAUCCUGUUGUAGAAUCCAAUGCAAAGCUUGGCGAAAAAGAAAUGGAGUGGUAAUUGUGCUAAUUCAGCAAACAGCAGGCGAUGCGAAGAACGUCAACGCUUUAUUCACUUUUGCGCCAAAACCGGCCAAAAACGUCUACACCUGCGUAGAUGCGCGGCACCCACGGCACCCAAACCCAAAAUUUUUUCUCCGCCUUCGGCGGAUUUUGGGCAGAUAUCUACAGUGUAGAUGGAAGAUACGAGCACUGAAAUGCGCACACAGCACUCACACGUGAUGCUCAUCAGCCCUUAGCUCCUCCUUUGUCAGCACUCGAUUGGUAGCAGUAUCUGGCAACGCCGUCGCACUCCCUUCUUACUCUCACACACACGAUGAAAUACAGUCUCUCAGUGUUUGUAGCGGAAACAAUACGGUAAACACAAUGUGGCACGCGCUUGAGCGCCACUAUUUAUUCGUCUGUCGAUGACGUCUCUUGCUCUCAAAUACACGGCAAACACGACGAACACGUGUUCCGACUUUCAACCGUAAAACUGUUUUCACCCUCGUGUGCCUGCCUCACUCCUAUCAUGUUCGCACACCAUGUGCGCACAUGCCACAGUGUCGAGAUGUCGACUGCCAUCCACUGGUAUCUAUGACUAUGGCCGCUGUGACCUGCAAUGCGCAAUCAUGCGGCCCCUUGCGUAUUCCGGAUGUGAGACCAUCAUGCAUAUCAUUUUGCAUUAACUUGCGAUAGCUGUGAAAUUGCACACAGUUCUGGUACAUUAUUGCGCCUCCGCCCACCUGCUGCGGCUAGAAUGCGUGACCGCAAGCCACAGUCACAGGUGGCUGGAUAUGCUACUCUACAACCUCAAAACUAUGCCUGCACGCAACCUCAUAGCUGCAUGUGUCGCGCACUCUCGAAGUGCACCUGCAGCACCGCGCUUUCCAGGCCGCUGUCGCCAAUCACAGACUUGUCCGCCUCGGUGCGGCGGUCCGCUGCCGCCUCCCAGCGCUGCAGCUGCUGCUCUGACGCGUCGCCCGCGUAGACGCAGAAGCCGUCCAUGAUGAAGCGGUGCGGCAGGUGCACGAGCGCUCGCCGAGCCUUGGCCGGUGCUGGCUCCGGCGCCGCAGCCGCAGCCGCCAGCACCUGUGAACAAGUCGAAGGGCAUCGAGAGCGUGUGUAGUGGAUGCCGACGGAAGGGAGGGGUAGGCAGGGAGGGGAGCACCUGAAGUACACGACACUCGAGAUGGCGUCCAAUCCCAUGUACACCACCCCCACUCUGCCCGCCCGCAAAUACAUCGCCCCCACCCUGCCCGCCCCCACCUCGCCCGUCCCCACCACGCCCGCCCCCAACUCGCCCGGCCCCCCUCUGCCCGCCCCCACCCCGCCCGCGCACCCACGCCCUGCCCACCCGCCCGCAACCAUUCAGUGCUGGCGCCCGCAUAGUCCGCGAACCCAACCUACCUUGUCCAGCGUGAAGGCGGCCACCAGGAACAACGUGCGUGUGCAGCUGCUUGCUUGCGGCCUCCAUCUCUGCGACCGCAAGCACAGACGGUACUUACAAAUCACCCGAGCUACAUUGAUGAUGGCAAUAAGCGAACAACAAAAUCCCAGAAGACUCCGGCGUGUAAGCCUGACAUAAUCUCGCCUGUAUCCCGCUGGUGACUAACACACACAUGCACACACAUCCGUGUCCUUCCUACCACAUGUGCACCCCUGCCAUCAAUUACUCGCUUUGGCAGACACGUACUCACCUGCAGGGCUGUACUUAGUCUCGCCCGCGCGCAGCCGCAGUGCGUUCGCACCCUUGUCCACCUCGCAGCCCACGCCCGCGCCCUUGUCCACCUGCAAUACGCCCGUGUAAUGGCCGCGCAGCGCCGCGGCCACGCAGCGCACGAACAGCGUCGUCUCCAGCAGUGCCGCCCGCUCCUAGACGAUGAAUAGGGCAACAGGACAGCCGCGACAGUGACGCCACAUAAGUACGUCUACGCGCGGCUGGGCGUCAAGGGUCCCAGCACUAUCCUGCAGAGCAUGGACGACGUGCUGCAGUUCUUGCUGCCCUGCCGCACUCUGCUCACGGCGUCGCAAGAUGACACGUUUUUUCGCGCCGAGCAGACGGCCAGCAUGACGAGUCUGCUGGACAAGGUACGCUCACGCUUGCCGCAAGCCAAUCCUGUGCCAUAUGUGGAUGCAAUACCUGAUCCUGUUCACAUGCUUCUACGUUGUCCUGUUUGUGCAGGACACUGGCUUCCUCAACGUAGAAACUUGAGAAUAGGAUCAGGUAUUGCAUCCACGUAUGGCACAGGAUUGGCUCGCGGCAAGCGUGAGCGCACCUUGUCCAGCAGACUGGCCGUUCGCACGGCGCGAAAAAACGUGUCAUCUUGCGACGCCAUGAGCAGAGUGCGGCAGGGCAGCAAGAACUGCAGCACGUCGUCCAUGCUCUGCAGGAUAGUGCUGGGACCCUUGACGCCCAGCCGCGCGUAGACGUCGUUCACGGCGACCUCCAGCACCAUGCCGACGAUGUUCCGGGUCAUUCUGGCCUCCUUCGCCGCGGCUGCCGAGGCUGAUUUGGCCUCCUGCGCGGCUGAUUUGCCCUCCUCCGCGGCUGUUUGGCCUCUUGCGCGGCUGAUUUGGCGUCCAUCUCCGCUGCUUUGGCCUCCCUGACGCUCGCAAUUAGCUCCUGCGCCCCGUGGUGAUACACGUGGGCGUUCGGCUCCCAUAGUACAAUAAACGCGACAGGUAGAACGCAACCUACCAAAUCGGCACGCCAUCUACGUCAGCACAGCGUGCGCUGGACCGCAACACGGCCAGCACCCAGCGAGCUCCCUGAGUCACGCCCCAUAACGAGGGAUGCCUUGUAAGCGGCUCGCAGCUGGCACGGCGAGCGGCCGGGCGCACCAAACGGCGCCACAACCAGCCGGGAUCUCAGGGUUGACGCGGCACUGCUGCUCGCCAGCAUGCUUGAUAUCCCUAAGCAAUGAGGCUAACCGCUUGUCAAGUGCCGAGUGGAGCGCGAAAAUCUGUACUAUGAUGCAGCUCAGUUGAGGUUACUGAGGUUCUAGCCUCUAGGCUAACACUAGGCUAGGCGUAAGUAAUAGGCUAAUAGUAGGAAUACUGGUUGCCAGCGUGAAAGCGUGACGAGCCUUCUCCGCCUCUGAGUCUGAAUCGCCCGACGACCCUAAUGCGGGGCCGAUUCCCAGAGCGUGACUUAGAACUCAUUGCGCUCAAUACAUGAAUGCAUAAACGUCAAGGAGCAUGUGGGCACGCCCUCGCAGCCCCCCGUCCUGUACAGCGCAAGCCGACAACCACGAUGUGACUCGCUCGGCCUCCUACAGCACUCAGACGACAUUGCCAGCCAUUGUGCAUAAUGCUGAAGCUGAAAAGUACAGCUGCGCCAUCACGUCGGGCAAGUUUGAGUGCACUUCGACAUCUUCCAUCCUCCAGCACAUCGGCCGGUUUUAGAGGGAGGCCCAAGCAGCGCUAACCAGUUAUGAUCCCUGCUGCAAAGUCACAGGCAAACCCGAUCAUGUCGCACCACACAAGCAGCGCACGACCAGGUGCCAACUCCAGCACGGUUAGGCAAAUGUUGGAGGCAGAACACACUUGGGGCCCCAGGCGCUUCGUACAGCUAGGACAAGGGCUGAGCCCCGGCGGAAGUAGAGAUAGGUGAUUAUGACAAAUGGAUAGCCAGAGGAUACCCCAGUGGGGAAGUGGAGGGCACAUGCAGGGAGGCAGGGGGAGGCACAGGUAGGGCGGGCAGGCCCCUGCAGGUCCACGGACAGGGGGCACAGCCGCAGAGGCAGGGAGGCAGUAGGACAUGGACAGGAGGAGGCACAGGCGAACAGGCAGCAAGGCAGAGAGGAGCACAGGCAGGGACGUGGACAGGGGGAGGCAGGGCCAGGCACAGCUUGUCCGCGUCCCUGCCUGUGGCCCUGUGCAGCUGUGCUCCCCACGCUUGCGCCCGCCCAGCCGUGCCCGCCGCUCGACCUCCUGGCUCCUAGCACGGCUCCUGGACGGGGAGUGUGGGUGGAACGCCCGCCAAGAUGAGACACGAUGAGAGGCAUGGCCGAUGGCGCCGAGUUAAGCCAUCUCCACGCCCAGUGUUCCGGCCAGUGGUAAUAGAUCUACUGUUACGAUACCUGUUGAAGACAGGGCUGGGCCCUAACUAAUGCCUCUUACGAGUCUUCCAGUGAGUCCGGGGUGGGCUAGGUACAGGGAGCCGCCACACGGGCUGCCGCCUGCUGCCGGGCUGCCCACUCCUACUCCGUUGAACACGACAUGUUGGCAAGAAGGCGCCUUCGCCAGGCAAGUACCUGUCUUCGCGUGUUCAAGCGCCUCUUCAAACCGGUGUUCUUUCAAUGCUUUUGUCAUCGACGCUGGAGCCUGCGGCAGCACUGUCAAGCCGGAAGCAAAGGAUUCCUCGACAGCUCUUGCACAUACCUCGAUCGCUCGUUGCUUUUGCGCAACGGAAAACGAUGCCGGGGCUUUGGGCGCCAUGGUGGCCAUUUAGCUGGUAGGAAAGGAUAAAUCAAGACCUUAAGCGGGUUUGAGCAGAUAUGAGCUCAGCGCUGUUCAAAAAGCCGUAUGUGCUACGGAACUGAAUGCUCUAGGUGAAACAUUUGUGUAUGCUGAAUGACACGGUGGGAUGGGACUGGAUGACCCUGGGCUCUCCACGGAUACCCACGAGCUCGUGAUGGAACAUGGCAAGGGGCAGGAAAGCGUAGGAUACCCACGAGCAUGCGACCCGGUCUACUCCGUUGAAGUAGUAUUACGUGUGUCACGCGUCCACAGCAUGUGCAUACUGCUUUUGAUUGAAAUGACACAUACGCCACGGCGCAGAAUCCGAGCGGGCUGCUGAGGCAACGCGCAGCACCUAGGGUGAGCCACACCCAUGUGCCCCGUGCCCUCCGGGCCUAUCAGCUACACACACCGCCUCCUCUUAACUGACUGGGUUCACUGGGCCACCCCAGCCAAUCCUGCCGCCACCCAACACCACGUGAUCACACCCCGGCCCGGUCGCUCCACGCAGUCACUCGUGUCGCUCCGCACACACCUCCUGCCACAUACCACAGACCAUAAACACGCGCUCGCUCGCUGGCCCACUCCUCCCAGCCCACGUCUUCAAGCCUUUACCCACACCUGCACACCAGCUUGCGGCACCAUGCUCCUCUUCUGCCAAAUACACAAACAGCCCCAACCUAUAGCCGUGCCGCUCCGAGCCCACACGUGGCUUUGGUCCUCCCCACCACCCCUCGCUACCAGGUCGCCCUCCGCCCGCCGCGCUACCAGUUCUGUCGCUGCUCGGG